Molecule: transfer RNA, 77 nt
Filed under: Alphaproteobacteria bacterium CG11_big_fil_rev_8_21_14_0_20_39_49
Lineage: Bacteria; Pseudomonadati; Pseudomonadota; Alphaproteobacteria
Also listed under: 2 other names
Description: tRNA-Met
Rfam family: tRNA
About the family: Transfer RNA (tRNA) molecules are approximately 80 nucleotides in length.
Source: RNAcentral
GGCGGGAUAGCUCAGGUGGUUAGAGCGGAGGAAUCAUAAUCCUUAGGUCCGGGGUUCAAGUCCCUGUCCCGCUACCA